UGAGCUGAGAUUGUGCCCAUCAACAGAUGA
RNAcentral lists this non-coding RNA (30 nucleotides) under Homo sapiens (human). Lineage: Eukaryota; Metazoa; Chordata; Mammalia; Primates; Hominidae. The record is from RNAcentral.